UCGUGUAUGGUGUAACGGCUAACAUUACCGCCUUUCAUGGUUCCUGACGAUCCGUUCCGAUGGAUAUCUAGAACGCGGUAGCUCGGGGUUCGAUUCCCCGUACGCGAA
Non-coding RNA from Psilocybe cubensis, 108 nucleotides. The record is from the annotation of a RefSeq genome assembly. Lineage: Eukaryota; Fungi; Basidiomycota; Agaricomycetes; Agaricales; Agrocybaceae.